Molecule: non-coding RNA, 74 nt
Organism: Pseudomonas sp. Bc-h
Lineage: Bacteria; Pseudomonadati; Pseudomonadota; Gammaproteobacteria; Pseudomonadales; Pseudomonadaceae
Source: Rfam
AUAAUUAUUACCGCCAUUCCAGUCAUGGCGGGUUAGCCGACGUUUGCACCCAACCCGCCCUAGAGGCGGGUUUU